GCCAGACUCCUACGGGAGGCAGCAGUGGGGGAUAUUGCACAAUGGGGGAAACCCUGAUGCAGCGACGCCGCGUGAGUGAAGAAGUAUUUCGGUAUGUAAAGCUCUAUCAGCAGGGAAGAAAGAAGACGGUACCUGACUAAGAAGCCCCGGCUAACUACGUGCCAGCAGCCGCGGUAAUACGUAGGGGGCAAGCGUUAUCCGGAUUUACUGGGUGUAAAGGGAGCGUAGACGGCAAUACAAGUCGGAAGUGAAAUACCCGGGCUCAACCUGGGAACUGCUUUGGAAACUGUAUGGCUGGAGUGCUGGAGAGGUAAGCGGAAUUCCUAGUGUAGCGGUGAAAUGCGUAGAUAUUAGGAGGAACACCAGUGGCGAAGGCGGCUUACUGGACAGUAACUGACGUUGAGGCUCGAAAGCGUGGGGAGCAAACAGGAUUAGAUACCCGUGUAUG
RNAcentral lists this ribosomal RNA (448 nucleotides) under uncultured bacterium. RNAcentral's name for it is "bacterial SSU rRNA". It matches the Rfam family "Bacterial small subunit ribosomal RNA", at positions 330 to 793 of the family's 1533-position model. The record is from RNAcentral.